This 427-nucleotide ribosomal RNA is filed under the name uncultured bacterium. Its description in RNAcentral is "bacterial SSU rRNA". It matches the Rfam family "Bacterial small subunit ribosomal RNA", at positions 355 to 774 of the family's 1533-position model. The record is from RNAcentral.
UAGGGAAUAUUGGACAAUGGGGGCAACCCUGAUCCAGCCAUGCCGCGUGAGUGAAGAAGGCCCUCGGGUUGUAAAGCUCUUUUGUCCGGAAAGAAAAGCUUCGGGUUAAUACCCCGGGGUUCUGACGGUACCGGAAGAAUAAGCACCGACUAACUUCGUGCCAGCAGCCGCGGUAAUACGAAGGGUGCAAGCGUUACUCGGAAUUACUGGGCGUAAAGCGUGCGUAGGUGGUUGUUUAAGUCUGAUGUGAAAGCCCUGGGCUCAACCUGGGAAUGGCAUUGGAAACUGGGCAGCUAGAGUGCGGUAGAGGGUAGUGGAAUUCCCGGUGUAGCAGUGAAAUGCGUAGAGAUCGGGAGGAACAUCUGUGGCGAAGGCGACUGCCUGGACCAGCACUGACACUGAGGCACGAAAGCGUGGGGAGCAAACA